RNAcentral lists this ribosomal RNA (552 nucleotides) under Schwanniomyces polymorphus var. polymorphus. Its description in RNAcentral is "LSU rRNA". It matches the Rfam family "Eukaryotic large subunit ribosomal RNA", at positions 66 to 634 of the family's 3401-position model. Lineage: Eukaryota; Fungi; Ascomycota; Pichiomycetes; Serinales; Debaryomycetaceae. The record is from RNAcentral.
CAACAGGGAUUGCCUCAGUAACGGCGAGUGAAGCGGCAAAAGCUCAAAUUUGAAAUCUGGCACCUUCGGUGUCCGAGUUGUAAUUUGAAGAAGGUAACUUUGGAGUUGGCUCUUGUCUAUGUUCCUUGGAACAGGACGUCACAGAGGGUGAGAAUCCCGUGCGAUGAGAUGCCCAACUCUAUGUAAAGUGCUUUCGAAGAGUCGAGUUGUUUGGGAAUGCAGCUCUAAGUGGGUGGUAAAUUCCAUCUAAAGCUAAAUAUUGGCGAGAGACCGAUAGCGAACAAGUACAGUGAUGGAAAGAUGAAAAGAACUUUGAAAAGAGAGUGAAAAAGUACGUGAAAUUGUUGAAAGGGAAGGGCUUGAGAUCAGACUUGGUAUUUUGCAAGCCUUACCUUCGUGGUGGGGUCCCCUGCAGUUUACUGGGCCAGCAUCGGUUUGGAUGGUAGGAUAAUGACUUGGGAAUGUGACUUUGCUUCGGUAAAGUGUUAUAGCCCUUGUUGAUACUGCCUGUCUAGACCGAGGACUGCGUCUUUGACUAGGAUGCUGGCAUAA